RNAcentral lists this ribosomal RNA (253 nucleotides) under uncultured bacterium. RNAcentral describes it as "partial 16S ribosomal RNA". It matches the Rfam family "Bacterial small subunit ribosomal RNA", at positions 524 to 776 of the family's 1533-position model. The record is from RNAcentral.
UACGUAGGGGGCAAGCGUUGUCCGGAAUUAUUGGGCGUAAAGCGCACGUAGGCGGCUUGGCAAGUCGGAUGUGAAAUCCCUCGGCUCAACCAAGGAAGUGCAUCCGAAACUGCUGAGCUUGAGUACUUAAGAGGAUCGCGGAAUUCCCGGUGUAGAGGUGAAAUUCGUAGAUAUCGGGAGGAACACCAGUGGCGAAGGCGGCGAUCUGGGAAGAUACUGACGCUGAGGUGCGAAAGCGUGGGGAGCAAACAGG